UCCAACACUUAACAUCAUCAUAACAACAAUAAAUCAAGCAUCUAAAGUAUGGUCAAACCUUGUAAGAAAAAUCAACACUUAGAAAAUUCUGGGCUGCCCAGAAUUUUUCGGUCAAUGCCGGUCAACCCAGUUUGACCUUAAAUAACUCUUAAUCCAUAAUUUAUAUGGACCUGAUUCGUUUUGGAGGUUAAAUACCACAUAACAAGCUACACAUAACAACCUUUAGAACAGAAAACACAUUAAAGAUAACCGAGAUAUAAGGCAUGACAUUUUCCAAAAUAAUAUUUUUUGGACACUUAGAAUAUUUUCUGGGUUUGAAGAACAGCCGGUCAAUGCCGGUCAACCCACUUUGACCGCUUAUAAAUCCCGAUCUACAAUAGAUAUGAACUUGAUUCCUUUUGGAGAUUAAAGACCACAUAUCAGGAUACCUAUAACAACUUUUAAACAACAAAACUCGUGAUCGAACAAAGAGUUAUAGCCUAUGACAUUUGGUGAAAAAUAACAGAAUUCGGUUUUUCCAACUUGUUUAAAUCUUCAAAUUUGUGCACUUUGAUGUUAUGGAUCUGUGUUUCUACAACCCAGAACAUUAAUAGACUCCCUAUUACACUACUUUAAACAAUCAAUUCCAUCAAUUAACAUCGAAUCGAAGGAUUUCAAAAUUAGAGAAUUUCAUACCUUUUCUAGCUUCGAUUUUUGAUUUUGGCUUUGAUGCUUCUGAUUUGUUGUUUGUGAUGGUUGGGCUUUGUUUAGGGACUGAUAUGCUAGAUAAUUUCGUUGGCUAGAGGUUGAGAGAGUUUGUCUAGAGAGUUUGUGAAAUUUUAGUGUGUAUUUUCAUUAACUCUCAUUCAUCUCUAUUUAUAGAUCAUGUCAAGAGACUUGGAUACUGAUUUGGCUGCCAUUAUUGAGCUCACAUGAUAAAUAUGAAGUGGUUGGCCGGAUUUGGUGGAAUUGGUAGCACAAUAAUGCACAAAUAAUGCACUAAGAUGGACAAAAAGGGUAAAAUGGUCAUUUCCCUUCUCUUUAAAAAAUAUAUUAGAUACAUUGGAUGCUAAAAUUGGAUGAUUCCAUUGUUUGAUAGCUAAUAACAUGGUAGGGUAAGCAUGUUGGGCAUUUUUGUUACAAGAUUCCAUCAACAAUGUAAGUAAUAAUACACUAAUAAACCAAAAAGGGCAUUUUGGUCAUUUCACAUAUAAUUUCAAGGGCAUUUUUGUACAUAGCAAUUAAAUGUAGUAUUUAAUCACUAGAUGGUAAUUCUUAUCAUUUACCAAUUAAUUCUAUCCUUUGGUAAAUUAAAACUUUUAUACAUUAACAUCGUAAUUAAACCCGAUAAUUUUAAAUUAGGGUUUUCUAUAGAAAAUUAGGAUUUUCUAAUUAGGGUUUCUUAACGCCAUCAAUUAGGGUUUCUAAUUGACCAUUAGGGUUCUCUAAUUAUCUGUGUAUGUUCUAACACAGUCAUUACGAUCUCUAACUUCAACCGAUUAGGGUUGUAAUAAUUAGGGUUUGUCCUAAUUAUCGACAUACAACAGUAAUUAGGGUUUUCUUCUAAUUACCGACAUCUUAUACACAGUAACCUUCAUAUACACAGUCACUACUCAGUCAUAUCUCGUAACUGAGUUUAAUAAUUAGGGUUUCACAGCACGGUAAUAUGCUAUGACCUAAUUGACUGUCAUUGCUCAAUAUUAUCUGUCCGCACAUACACAGUACAUAAUUAUUGUACUGUAAAAUCAUUAUAACAAUAAUAUAAUAUUAUUAUUCUCAUCUCUUGAUCACAAUCCCAAUUCAGGGUUUGGAUCUCAUAUCUGACUUCUCUUUCGCAUAUCAAGUUAAAAUACUUGAUUUAAAUAUUCUGAACAAUUCAUAUAAUAAAAUAUAUAUUAUAUAAAUUCUAAUUAUCACUUCAUAUAUUAUUUCCAAUCAUGUUAUCAUGGAAAAUAAUUAAUAAAAAUAUUUCUGCUUACAGAAAUUAAUUACCAUAAAAUAUAAUUUGUAGUAAU
RNAcentral lists this long non-coding RNA (1994 nucleotides) under Panax ginseng (ginseng). RNAcentral describes it as "long non-coding RNA (PGIN_LNC005560)". The record is from RNAcentral. Lineage: Eukaryota; Viridiplantae; Streptophyta; Magnoliopsida; Apiales; Araliaceae.